AUGCUUACAGGCAAGAAAUUAAAGGCAUACCCUGAGGUCUUGACCCCCGACGGAGGGACAUUGUUGCACUUUGCUGCCAUGUUAGGGUCCACUUGUGAAAGGCAAGAGUCGCAAAAUGAUUACAAAGUUGCUAUGAGAGAUUAUGUUUGUCCUGUGCCAAAGUAUUUGAAUAGGGGUCACUGAAUAGUUGAUUAUGAAAAUGGUGUGAUCAUAUACCAUGGCUUUCACAGUCACCAGAUCUCAACCAAGACUAUCAGGGGAAAUUUGACUGACAUAACAGAUAGAUAAUAGCUCUGUUAGUGUUUCAGAAUCAAUUCCAGUAAACACUGAAGCUCUUGCGGAGGCAUGUGUUGUACAAAUACUUCAUGAACUUGACUUUGCCACCUGCUUGUACACAUUGCUUCUUUGGUUUGGGUCUGUUAUGUUUCUACAUAUUUGUGUCUUUUAAACCUGUUGGCAGAGAAUGCUAUUUGUGUGUAACUUAAUAAAAAAUAUACAACAUGUUUCUCUUUCUAUAGAUUGUAUUUAUUUAUGCUUGUAUGUUUUGUCAGUGCCUUUCGGACUAUAGUGAUGCUGAUUCAGAGAAGGUCAGUAAGUCUAAGUCAUUCAUUCAUUAAGUUAUUCCACAACUCACUGUUACUGUAAUACAAAACACUUUAUUAAAAUGAAUGAAACAGUGAAACACAAAGACAACACUGCAAUCAAUCAGUACAACACAAAGACAGCACUGCAAUCAAUCAGUGAACUUGAUUCUGACUCUAAUGUAAGGUUUUUUAAAAGAUCAAUUGUGUACCAAAAGAUAAAAGUGUAAUGGCUUGAUCAUUGUAUUGUAAAAGACUACGGGAAAAAAAUAACAACAACUGCAAUCAGUGAUAUUUUAAAAGAGUACAAAAAGAUAAAAGUUGAAUGUCUUGAUCAUUCUAAAAGUCAAUUGUCCGGCAAACCCAUAUGGGGUGCCACACCAGGUCCUGCUCUGUAAUGGAAAACCCUUUUAAACCUCCCCAAGCUGGUCAACCAUGGAGGUAAAGUGCUCGUAGCUGCUAAAAACUAUAUUUUUCAGACCUGUUGAUGGGGACAUCAUUUUUACAGAGCAGAAAGUUUUUUAAAAAAUAUUUUUUAUGUCCUUGGGUUGGCUGGUGGCAGAUUCUGCAAAUGGGAAGGUUUUGCACCCGUGACACUUUGGCUCCUACUUCUGAGGGGUGAUCCUUAAGCUUACGCUUAUACUGUGUUGCCCUUGCCCAGACUGAAGGUCUGC
This 1255-nucleotide long non-coding RNA is filed under the name Oreochromis niloticus (Nile tilapia). RNAcentral's name for it is "lncRNA (ENSONIG00000042362.1)". The record is from RNAcentral. Lineage: Eukaryota; Metazoa; Chordata; Actinopteri; Cichliformes; Cichlidae.